AGUGACAAAAUUCAACGGCCACGGUAUCCUAACCGUGCAAAGGUAGCAUAAUCACUUGUUCUUUAAAUGAGGACUUGUAUCAACGGCACCACGAGGAUUAUACUGUCUCCUUUUUCUAAUCAGUGAAACUAAUCUCCCCGUGAAGAAGCGAGGAUACUAAUAUAAGACGAGAAGACCCCAUGGAGCUUAAAACCCAACUACACCUCUAAUUUUUAUGCCCUCACAACCUCUUGAGUCUUGUACAGUUGGUUUUCGGUUGGGGCGACCACGGAGCACAACAAAACCUCCACAAUGAACGGGCCUACACCCUUAUCUAUGAGCUACCUCUCUAAGAAUUAAAACAUUAACAUAAUAUGAUCCACUUUUGAUCAAUGAACCAAGUUACCCUGGGGAUAAC
Molecule: ribosomal RNA, 397 nt
Filed under: Mantidactylus mahery
Lineage: Eukaryota; Metazoa; Chordata; Amphibia; Anura; Mantellidae
Description: partial large subunit ribosomal RNA
Rfam family: Bacterial large subunit ribosomal RNA
Source: RNAcentral